GACGAACGCUGGCGGCGUGCUUAACACAUGCAAGUCGAACGGAAAGGCCCUGCUUUUGUGGGGUGCUCGAGUGGCGAACGGGUGAGUAACACGUGAGUAACCUGCCCUUGACUUUGGGAUAACUUCAGGAAACUGGGGCUAAUACCGGAUAGGAGCUCCUGCUGCAUGGUGGGGGUUGGAAAGUUUCGGCGGUUGGGGAUGGACUCGCGGCUUAUCAGCUUGUUGGUGGGGUAGUGGCUUACCAAGGCUUUGACGGGUAGCCGGCCUGAGAGGGUGACCGGCCACAUUGGGACUGAGAUACGGACCAGACUCCUACGGGAGGCAGCAGUGGGGAGUAUUGCACAAUGGGCGGAAGCGUGAUGCAGCAACGCCGCGUGCGGGAUGACGGCCUUCGGGUUGUGAACCGCUUUCGCCUGUGACGAAGCGUGAGUGACGGUAAUGGGUAAAGAAGCACCGGCUAACUACGUG
RNAcentral lists this ribosomal RNA (468 nucleotides) under uncultured bacterium. RNAcentral's name for it is "partial 16S ribosomal RNA". It matches the Rfam family "Bacterial small subunit ribosomal RNA", at positions 28 to 507 of the family's 1533-position model. The record is from RNAcentral.